GAUGAACGCUGGCGGCAUGCUUAACACAUGCAAAUCGAACGGGAAGUGGUGUUUCCAGUGUCGAACGGGUGAGUAACGCGUAAGAACCUGCCCUUGGUAGGGGAACAACAACUGGAAACGGUUGCUAAUACCCCGUAUGCUGAGGAGCAAAAGGAGAAAUCCGCCCAAGGAGGGGCUCGCGUCUGAUUAGCUAGUUGGUGAGGUAAUAGCUUACCAAGGCGAUGAUCAGUAGCUGGUCCGAGAGGAUGAUCAGCCACACUGGGACUGAGACACGGCCCAGACACCUACGGGAGGCAGCAGUAGGGAAGUUUCCGCAAUGGGCGAAAGACUGACGGAGCAAUGCCGCGUGGAGGUGGAAGGCCUCGGGGUCGUCAACUUCUUUUCUAGGAGAAGAAACAAUGACGGUAUCUGAGGAAUAAGCAUCGGCUAACUCUGUG
Molecule: ribosomal RNA, 437 nt
Filed under: uncultured bacterium
Lineage: Bacteria
Description: partial 16S ribosomal RNA
Rfam family: Bacterial small subunit ribosomal RNA
Source: RNAcentral